RNAcentral lists this ribosomal RNA (496 nucleotides) under uncultured bacterium. RNAcentral describes it as "partial 16S ribosomal RNA". It matches the Rfam family "Bacterial small subunit ribosomal RNA", at positions 28 to 507 of the family's 1533-position model. The record is from RNAcentral.
GAUGAACGCUGGCGGCGUGCCUAAUACAUGCGAGUCGAGCGAACAGACGAGGAGCUUGCUCCUCUGACGUUAGCGGCGGACGGGUGAGUAACACGUGGAUAACCUACCUAUAAGACUGGGAUAACUUCGGGAAACCGGAGCUAAUACCGGAUAAUAUAUUGAACCGCAUGGUUCAAUAGUGAAAGACGGUUUUGCUGUCACUUAUAGAUGGAUCCGCGCCGCAUUAGCUAGUUGGUAAGGUAACGGCUUACCAAGGCAACGAUGCGUAGCCGACCUGAGAGGGUGAUCGGCCACACUGGAACUGAGACACGGUCCAGACUCCUACGGGAGGCAGCAGUAGGGAAUCUUCCGCAAUGGGCGAAAGCCUGACGGAGCAACGCCGCGUGAGUGAUAAGGUCUUCGGAUCGUAAAACUCUGUUAUUAGGGAAGAACAAAUGUGUAAGUAACUAUGCACGUCUUGACGGUACCUAAUCAGAAAGCCACGGCUAACUACGUG